CUUGGCAGAGUCAUUGCUAUCAGACCCUGUUCCCAUCUCCAGGACACAUAACUUGCAUUCAACUUUCGCGGCUCUGAUGUCUGGCAUGCCUACUGAAGCCAUUGGGGCAUAAUUAACUAUUGUUUAGCAGCUUCAGUAGACAUGCCAGAUAUCUAAGCCAAUCAUUAUAACAGUGUUUUAUGUUGCAGGCACUGCUCAAAGUUGCAAACCUUAAGAUUCAAAUGUUCAUGAAUUGCAGAGAAAAAUUGUCAGAAAUGCCACUGAAAAGGUCACUGCCAUGACCAGAAUUCAGGCCAGCCCUCCAGGGGCCUGCAGUUUGUACUGGGGACCAAGAGUCAGCAGGCAGUGGUGGACACUUUCUUCAUGGCCAACCUGGGUUAUUUCCAACUGAAAGCUAAGCCAGGGGCUUGGAUGUUACAACUUUAACAUGAACAUUCAGAGGAAAUCUACAAGAUAGCAAGCCAUGAGAGGACAGACUCUCCACCAGAUUCACCUAACAUUACUAUUGUCAUGAACAGCUUCCUCAGUAAAAUCAUCAAAGUCAAGGUAAGCAAGAAGCCAGGGCAGGAGUCAGAUGAUUCGUUGGGAGGAGUAGGAGACAAGAGGAGGGGUUAUGAGAUUCUUCAUCCAGUGUAAUAACCCGCAGACCAAAGGACCUAAGCUGAAUGAAGCUAAGAGAAUAGUAGCUGAGUGGGAAGAAUAUGACAAUGAAGCAAGGAGGAUAUUUGAAAACUUUACCAGAAAUAAACCCACACUAAGUUCACUAAGUGCUGACCACAGUUAAGCACAAGAAACCAGUACACAACCAAGAGAUGAGCUGUGAUACUAGCCUAUCACUAGUUAAGCUCCUGCAAUUGAGGGAAGUGCUGUCUGCAUUCCAUUUAUUCCUUCUCAACAGAAAAUGCUCUCCAGUAUGAAUUUUGAUGAUGUUAUUCCUAGUUGGUGAAAGAGAUUUAGAUCGAUCCAGAGAUUUAGAUUUAGAUCGACCUAACUCCCUGGGGGUUCCACUAAAUUGCAGUCAGC
Long non-coding RNA from Lingula anatina, 1023 nucleotides. Lineage: Eukaryota; Metazoa; Brachiopoda; Lingulata; Lingulida; Lingulidae. The record is from RefSeq and is a predicted model, not a curated record.